CAUACCAGUGUAAAUACUCUUUUCACUAUCCAUCUUAAUCUGAUCAAACAGGUGAAUGAGACAGGUGUCGGUGGAGUUGGCUGUUCUAAAACCAGACUGGAAUUCAUAGUUACUUUCCAAGGCCGUUCAGUUUUGAAUGAUGGAACUGGAGCUCAGUGCUGUUUAUGACACUCUGGGGGUGUCAGCAGAGGACAUUUUGUCCACUGGGGAAAUCCAGAGUGUGUACAAGAGAGUGUUCCAUACCCCUGUGAGCCAGCAGGACGCAUUGAGGGCUAUUAGAAAGGUUACAGGGGAUAAGAAAGGGACCUCCUGCCAUGCUGGGAAGAUUUUAGACAUUCUUCUUGAGGUAGAGAAAGACCAAACACUCAAAGAAGAGUUGUACUGGGAUACACAGAUGCUGAAUGCAGGUAUAGUCCCUGGGAAGUAUCGAGACAGCAGCAGUGCGCUCACAAUGCCUUGUCUAUAUGAACAAUCUCAGGACCAAAGUCAGAAGAAAAGGCACUUUCAGGCAAGGACGAAAAGGCUUAUUUUACACAAUAACACAUUUUG
Long non-coding RNA from Anguilla anguilla (European eel), 549 nucleotides. RefSeq lists it as uncharacterized. NCBI's taxonomy places the organism in Eukaryota, Metazoa, Chordata, Actinopteri, Anguilliformes, Anguillidae. The record is from RefSeq and is a predicted model, not a curated record. The transcript has 4 exons.